RNAcentral lists this ribosomal RNA (481 nucleotides) under uncultured bacterium. Its description in RNAcentral is "bacterial SSU rRNA". It matches the Rfam family "Bacterial small subunit ribosomal RNA", at positions 29 to 485 of the family's 1533-position model. The record is from RNAcentral.
AACGAACGCCGGCGGCGUGGAUUAGGCAUGCAAGUCGAACGAGAAUCUGGAGGUUCAAGUUUUCGGACAAGAACUUUCGGAGGAAAGUGGCGGAAGGGUGAGUACAACAUGGAUAAUCUACCUUCAAGUUGGGUAUAGCUUCCCGAAAGGGGAGAUAAUCCCGAAUGUGGUGAUCCGGCGCCUGUCGGAGAAUCCAAAGGUGGGGACCGCAAGGCCUGCCGCUUGAAGAUGAGUCCGUGCACUAUCAGCUAGUUGGUGAGGUAAUGGCUCACCAAGGCGAUGACGGUUAGCUGGUCUGAGAGGAUGGUCAGCCACACUGGGACUGAGAUACUGCCCAGACUCCUACGGGAGGCUGCAGUCGAGAAUCAUUCGCAAUGGGCGCAAGCCUGACGGUGCGACGUCGCGUGGAGGAUGAAGGUCUUCGGAUUGUAAACUCCUGUCAUGUGGGAUAAAUGGCCAGGGCAUGAAUAGUGCCUUGGAA